Molecule: ribosomal RNA, 253 nt
Filed under: uncultured bacterium
Lineage: Bacteria
Description: partial 16S ribosomal RNA
Rfam family: Bacterial small subunit ribosomal RNA
Source: RNAcentral
UACGAAGGUGGCAAGCGUUACUCGGAAUUACUAGGCGUAAAGGGCAGGUAGGUGGUUUGGUAAGUCUGUUGUGAAAGCUCCUUGCUCAACGAGGAGAGGUCAACAGAUACUGCCAGGCUUGAGUAUGGGAGAGGGUACUGGAAUUCCCGGUGUAGCGGUGAAAUGCGUAGAUAUCGAGAGGAACACCUGCGGCGAAGGCGGGUUGCUGGGCUGACACUGACGCUGAGGCGCAAAAGCCAGGGGAGCGAACGGG